RNAcentral lists this ribosomal RNA (419 nucleotides) under uncultured ammonia-oxidizing beta proteobacterium. RNAcentral's name for it is "bacterial SSU rRNA". It matches the Rfam family "Bacterial small subunit ribosomal RNA", at positions 197 to 597 of the family's 1533-position model. Lineage: Bacteria; Pseudomonadati; Pseudomonadota; Betaproteobacteria. The record is from RNAcentral.
UGGAGGAAAGCAGGGGAUCGCAAGACCUUGCGCCUUUGGAGUGGCCGAUGCCUGAUUAGCUAGUUGGUGGGGUAAUGGCCUACCAAGGCGACGAUCAGUAGUUGGUCUGAGAGGACGACCAGCCACACUGGGACUGAGACACGGCCCAGACUCCUACGGGAGGCAGCAGUGGGGAAUUUUGGACAAUGGGCGAAAGCCUGAUCCAGCAAUGCCGCGUGAGUGAAGAAGGCCUUCGGGUUGUAAAGCUCUUUCAGUCGAGAAGAAAAGGUUGUGACUAAUAAUCACAACUCAUGACGGUAUCGACAGAAGAAGCACCGGCUAACUACGUGCCAGCAGCCGCGGUAAUACGUAGGGUGCGAGCGUUAAUCGGAAUUACUGGGCGUAAAGGGUGCGCAGGCGGCUUUGUAAGUCAGAUGUGA